Molecule: long non-coding RNA, 1185 nt
Organism: Armigeres subalbatus
Lineage: Eukaryota; Metazoa; Arthropoda; Insecta; Diptera; Culicidae
Exons: 3
Source: RefSeq, a predicted model, not a curated record
CAUCACCAUCCCACGCGCAGUGCCAGCCAGACCGCAGAGCGGACUGCACACAAACCCAGUGCGACAAAACUAAGUCCGCGUUAGAAGUGCACAGUUUGGUGAAAUUAGAGGCAACGGAUUUGGCCUGAUUUCAAUUAAGAAACAUUCGUGAACCUCGUCGUGUCACAGCACUGACAAUACGUUUGCACGGCUGCUCUGGCGGCAUAAUUAAAUCUGGAGAAAAGGAAGAACCCAGCACGUAAAACGCUCGCCCGAGACCGUCGUACAGGGAACGUCGUGGAAAGCGAAACACCCUCUCGAAGCGGGCUAUCGCAGCAAAUCAGCAAGCAUCUCUGCUUUUCGGUAACGGUGGAGAAGUGAAUCGCCCAGAAAGAUCGUUCAACCGGACAAUAGAAGACCCCGCUAAGGGGUCUUUUUGUUUUAUACAUUCUUGCUUCUUGUUACCGUACCGUGACUGGGUGUUGCUUUGAGGCGCAAGCCUGCCGUGGUGCGUGGAUUGGUGAGUCAAAAACAACAACCGAUUAUCAGCGUGUGUUCGUGGUGUUAGAACGAUUGUGAGCGGUGAUCCGCGUUGGGACGGACGGACGGCAUAGCAUCGCAGUGAAAGCCGACGGACACCAAGAAGUGAGACAUCGGAAGUGUGGUGUUUGCCUCGAUGCGGCUAUCGAGUGAUCGUCGGUGGGUGGUCGCUGCGUCCAGAGUCUGCCUGGUGGCGGAACCAAACAACAUGAACGGCUCAGUGGCAAGCGGUGUGUCGUUGGCUCCGCGGAGCGGUACCGUGAGUACCUACCAUUAGUUUAAGAAAACGAUUGUAUGGGCCUCGAGCCAUAGAGUAGAGGAUAGGUCUUGAGGUCAGGAGUGAGAAUAGGCCACGAUGAAAAUGAAUAUAAGCUACGUUUAAACUGAAAUAUUCGCUUUGUGUUUUGUUGGUGCUCAUAGCCCACAGUGUUUGUGAUCGUUCCAUCUAUUGGUAGUUUCCACCUUGCUCUACCUAGUCGGGAAAUCCACAACAACUCGUUCAGAAGUAAAACACCUAGAGGAGUUUUUCCGGAUAUUUUGCUCCUAAAAAUUCUUUGGAAAUACGUCGAGAAUACCUUUAGAAACUGCUUUGAAAAAUUCAUUCGGGAAUCCUUCGGCUAUUCUUUCAAGAAUUCCUUUAGCAAAAAUCCACCACAAUUCACUCUA